RNAcentral lists this ribosomal RNA (495 nucleotides) under uncultured bacterium. RNAcentral describes it as "partial 16S ribosomal RNA". It matches the Rfam family "Bacterial small subunit ribosomal RNA", at positions 28 to 505 of the family's 1533-position model. The record is from RNAcentral.
GAUGAACGCUGGCGGCGUGCCUAAUACAUGCAAGUCGAGCGAACAGACGAGGAGCUUGCUCCUCUGACGUUAGCGGCGGACGGGUGAGUAACACGUGGAUAACCUACCUAUAAGACUGGGAUAACUUCGGGAAACCGGAGCUAAUACCGGAUAAUAUAUUGAACCGCAUGGUUCAAUAGUGAAAGACGGUUUUGCUGUCACUUAUAGAUGGAUCCGCGCCGCAUUAGCUAGUUGGUAAGGUAACGGCUUACCAAGGCAACGAUGCGUAGCCGACCUGAGAGGGUGAUCGGCCACACUGGAACUGAGACACGGUCCAGACCCCUACGGGAGGCAGCAGUAGGGAAUCUUCCGCAAUGGGCGAAAGCCUGACGGAGCAACGCCGCGUGAGUGAUGAAGGUCUUCGGAUCGUAAAACUCUGUUAUUAGGGAAGAACAAAUGUGUAAGUAACUAUGCACGUCUUGACGGUACCUAAUCAGAAAGCCACGGCUAACUACG